This 3005-nucleotide long non-coding RNA is filed under the name Musa acuminata (dwarf banana). RNAcentral describes it as "long non-coding RNA (MACU_LNC009011)". Lineage: Eukaryota; Viridiplantae; Streptophyta; Magnoliopsida; Zingiberales; Musaceae. The record is from RNAcentral.
AUGAAACAAUAAAAAGAACUGUCUCUUUGAACUCAGGCUCAUCUAACUAGGGCUACUGGAACUAGAAAUGGAACUGGCCGAGCUACUGCGGAACAAUCCAAUAGUUCACUUUUUUGCAUUAGGAGAGUUCAGUAGAGUAAUUGAACAGAGGUUUCAUAGAGCUAAUGGCAAAUUACCUUACCCAUGUUGCCACCAGAAAACAGGUGGAAUCCAAGUUGGCUACGAGAUAAGAGGGCAUUGUAAUAACUUCCGGAAGCUGCUAGUGCUGCAAGUGGGAAGUGGAGUUAUUGGGGAAUCCGAAAGUGAAUAUAAGUAACAUACCAUAGAUAUUUGUAAACUAACUGCUUACUUACUUAUUACUCCAAUAAGCUAAUGCUCUAGGAGGGAAAAGCACUUUGUGCGGAAUAUGACGUGUACAACUUAUGUAAAAGAGUAAUGAAAAGAGUCAUCUUACUCGAAACUUGAAUCUAGAAUAUCGGCACCCCCAAGAGCGAAAUUGUAAGCUAAUGCACUCCGAACACAAUCCAAUCAGAAGUGUGCUUGCUCGAACUCACGUGUAAGCAAAAAGGUCUGGUCUAUGGUCUCUGUUUCUGUCCUUCUGAAGCACAAAGUACUAUCUAUUUCUGUCCAACUAAAUAAUGCUAGCCCAGCUGUUUCUAUAUCAGAGUAACAAAACACUGCAGCUCUUGCUUCUUUCUUAUUCAUGCUUCUCCUUUCCUUUCCUCUUUCGCACCCUUCACGUUAGCGCCCCUGAAACAAUAAGCAAAUUGACCUGUUCCUAAUACUAGUACUUUAGUAUUUCCCAGUAAUAUUGAACUCACAUGAAAUGGUUAGGGAAAGCAUAGAGAACAAGCAAGCCCUUGUUUGUUUACUUGUUCCACUCAUAUCUUAAUGUUCACUUGUUAACCCCCACUCCAUUAUGCAAAUAUCCGUUUUGCACAUUCUAUGAUAGAUUAACAAUACUUCCCUGCGGACUCAUUUCUUUUAUUAACUAUACUGCUGCAAAAUGUCCAUAUUUGGGUGUGAGUGUAUAGCAGAUUGGAUUGCGCCCUUGUCUUGUGCGUAAGUAAGAACGUUAGCACCGCCCUCACUGCUACAACGCUACAACACUCUUCCUUGAGACAACACCGCAACACCGACCAAAGCCCUUCCCUCAUCAGUAUCAGUACCACCGCUAGAGCAUUAUGUAGUUGGAAGAAUAGGUGUUUAGUUAUACUCUCUUAUGGAAUAUGUUACUUCUAUUCCAUGAAAAUACGAGUAUUCUGAACUAGUUAUUAGUUUGAAUAAGCUGUUUCUUAACUAGGCUCUUCUUUCUUAGUUUGAAUAAGCUGUUUGAUAAGUACUUUUCUUACUCAAAGCUUGUCAAAUGAGGAAACAGGGUUGAUCAUAUAUUCAGUAAUAAAGUGGUAGCGCGCAAGGCUUAUAUGAUUCAAGAUUUAGACAUGGUAAGGUGGUAAAGAGUCAAAGGGGCUGGGGGCCAAGCAACCACUGGGAAUCUGCUCCUCGCGCGUAAGUGUCAGCAACAAGACGUCCUUUCAAGUGUAGUUGAGGUGGGGAAAGAAUCCGGUACUUCUUAAAGCUAAUGCGGAAUGAGUUUCUUCUGUGUUUGUUGUCGACACCAGAGAUAUAGAAUCUACAGUUCCACUUUCAUCUUAUACAGAAGCCGAAUCCAAGUUAUCAUGCCCAAAAGGACUCUCAUAAAGAUGGUGUUGCAGUUCAAUUCAAAAGGGAGGUAUUCUAAGUUGCAGAGGUCAGAUUCCAAAGAAGAGAUCCAAUCUUAUCCGCGUGUUAGGGAGUUCGAAGCAAAGCAAAGAUGUUAUUAGGAACAAACAAACAGGACAAAGCACAGAUUAUAGGCAAAAAAUGCAUUAGUUGAGCCGACAACAGGAUUAGUUUCUUGGGCAACAGCUAAAGCAGGAAUUGAUGCAGCCCUGGUUGUCGCCAAGUUCACUUAGCAACUAGGCAAGUAACUAGUAAGCAGUGAGAAAGUAGUCUGCAGCAAGGGAGGUAAGGAAAGGAUAGUUUGGCAAAAGGGAAACCGGGGUAAGACUGUCCAGGUCCUACUGAAUAAGCGGUUUCUUUACUGGUGGGUUCUAUACCACAUGUGCUCUCAAUAUUCCAUUAAUCAAUCUGAUCUUACGUGCAAGAAAGAUGAUUUGACUGUUGAAGUCGAGGUUGGCAAAAGAUAAGGGAAUAGAGAGUUGAGUAUGUAAACAAAGUAAUAAUAAUAACUUAUAUGCGUAUGCGGUGCAAUAGAGUGGCCGAGAUCAGUAUCAUCUCCUUAAGUUCCUAGAGAAGAGGAAUCCCAAUAGGUAGUUUAAUAUGGAUAUUGGUAAUAAGAGGUCAGAGAAAGAUGCAAUUCUGCGUAGACAUUCAAAUCCUCCGCGCAUUAAGUUCCAUUUAAGAAUUCUUUGUUGCGCUAGGGGAGUUACUGGUUUAGUGUGAAAGUAGAGUUCUUGUGGAAGAAUAAAGUACUGGUGCCGCCCUACCCUAAGUCUACGAUAGAGGGGAGAUUAUUGUCGGAGAGGUAAUUGUGUUGCGGUAAGCAAAGAAAGAGCAGAUGUUGCCGUUAAGUCGGAAGCCGAAAGCCGAUAAGAAAGGUAGAGCUCGCUUGAAAGUGUUGUUGUCGGUUAUCCAAGUAAAUGAGUGAUAGUUUGAAUAGCAGGUGAGGAAUCCGUUUCAAUAGCGGGUGAGGAAUCCGUUUCAAUAGCGGGUGAGGAAUCAGUGCCUUUGCCAGAAGAAGCUUGCUUUGCUCCUAAUGCUAUAGUAUAAGAUGAAAUGAAUCUUUGAGUUUACUCAGCAUCAGGGUCAAUUACUAGUUUUCCUAGGAGCAAGACCAAAGAACUAUUCCAUUACUGUUUGAGUUGACUCGGCUAAAGGAAAAAGUACUGGCCGGUUAAGAGCAGGUGCAAUCGGUUAUGUUUGAGUGAAGUCUACAAGAGCAGGAGCUAGAUCAGAUACAACAUCAAGUAAAGGUCAGGAAGCAACUGACAAAAGGGUUUUAG